AUGUAUCCAACACUUCUAGUAGUGAGCUCAGUUUGCCUUAUUCUAAGCCAAGAUCCUUACUCAACUGUAAAGAUAGAUUAUAAACAAAGGCAAGGACUGAGAUCAGCAUAUGGGGAGACACAGAAAAGGCAACUCCAACUUGGAAAUUUCACAGAAGCUGCAUGUGAAGUUCAGAUGAAGGGACUCGAUUUUGAGGCAAGAACUACUUUAAAGUGGAGGCAACUUAUAUUUUUUUUCCCUCAGGUUACAAUCAGCAUAAUCACUCCCCACAUCUCAGUGAUCUUGGCAGAAGUUUAGUCCACAGAAUAAGUGACCAUCUGUGCCUAUUCUGAUAAUCUAUGGAAGAAUGUGUCCUGUCCACUCUCCAAGGUACUGACUCAAAACUGGAAAUAAUGGCUGAACUGUCCCAAGUGCUGAAUUUUUAGUAUCAAUAAACUGCUUCCUCAAAACUUUUGCAUUCCUCCUGCCCCAUCCUAGGAUGGUUAUUGUAACAACUAUACUUGACUGAGACAUUUGGGCAAAAUACUUGGCACAAUUAUCACUAACAUAAGGCACCCACGUGGAAAUUUGGAUAAAGAGCAUACAGUACCUAAAUUAUUUUCUACAAUCACAGGAGAAACUUGGUAUAUUAGUUUCCUAUGGCUGUGGCCACCAUAAUGCUGUUUGCUUAAAAAUCCACAUUUAUUAUCUUAUAGUUCAGAAGUUUCACACAGAUCUCACUGGCCAAAAUCUGUGUCAGUAGUCUUGUGUUCAUUCUGGAGGCUCUAGGAGAAAAUCAGUUUUCUGAUAUUUUCCAGUCUUUAGAAACGGCUCACAUUCUUUAGCUCAUGGCUCCUUUAAUCUGCAAAGUCAGCAAUGGCCGGCCAAAUUAUUCUCAUAUUCCCUCACUCUGAUACAGAGUCUUCUGUCUUGGUCAUCCACUUUUAUGGUCACUUCUGAUUACAUUGGGCCUACCUGAAUAAGACAAGAUACUCUGUCUAUCUUAAGUUCUGCUGAUUUGCAUCCUUACAUCUAUUUUUCAUGUAAAUUAUUUUCUUGCCAUAUAUAGUAACACAUUCAUAGUUUCUAAAGAUUUAAAUGUGGACAUCUUGGGGAAGGGUACAUUAUUUGCCUACCAAACUCAGUAAAUAUAAACAUUUCAGAUUGCAAAAGUUAUAAAAUUAAUCAAAACCUG
This 1174-nucleotide long non-coding RNA is filed under the name Macaca mulatta (Rhesus monkey). RNAcentral describes it as "lncRNA (ENSMMUG00000058103.1)". The record is from RNAcentral. Lineage: Eukaryota; Metazoa; Chordata; Mammalia; Primates; Cercopithecidae.